Molecule: ribosomal RNA, 448 nt
Filed under: uncultured bacterium
Lineage: Bacteria
Description: bacterial SSU rRNA
Rfam family: Bacterial small subunit ribosomal RNA
Source: RNAcentral
GGCCAGACUCCUACGGGAGGCAGCAGUGGGGAAUAUUGCACAAUGGGGGAAACCCUGAUGCAGCGACGCCGCGUGAGUGAAGAAGUAUUUCGGUAUGUAAAGCUCUAUCAGCAGGGAAGAAAAUGACGGUACCUGACUAAGAAGCCCCGGCUAACUACGUGCCAGCAGCCGCGGUAAUACGUAGGGGGCAAGCGUUAUCCGGAUUUACUGGGUGUAAAGGGAGCGUAGACGGCAUGGCAAGUCAGAUGUGAAGGCCCGGGGCUCAACCCCGGGACUGCAUUUGAAACUGUCAGGCUGGAGUGCAGGAGAGGUAAGUGGAAUUCCUAGUGUAGCGGUGAAAUGCGUAGAUAUUAGGAGGAACACCAGUGGCGAAGGCGGCUUACUGGACUGUAACUGACGUUGAGGCUCGAAAGCGUGGGGAGCAAACAGGAUUAGAUACCCGAGUAAC